Molecule: long non-coding RNA, 463 nt
Organism: Dermacentor albipictus
Lineage: Eukaryota; Metazoa; Arthropoda; Arachnida; Ixodida; Ixodidae
Source: RefSeq, a predicted model, not a curated record
CGAGGAGGCUGCGGUGUGGUGCCUGCGGCAGGAUCCUUUCUGCCUUGCGUCGAACUGCAGGGCGAGGGUCGAGACCUGUUCGACACAGAACAUGAUCCGUGUGAACUCAACAACCUGGCGUCCAGAAAGCCGUUGGUUUCGACCUCGGCAAGGGUGGUGCGUGGCGCAAAAGAUGACCAUAGAUUACUUGCAUUGAGGCGCUGCAUUCCAUGCUAUGCCUCUGUCUGUUCUUUGGGGUGGUUCAGAUUAAAGCCUAAUGUCUAAGUUGGAGGCGGGCUGUCUUGAGUUGAAAUUUUUCCUACGGCGAUGUAAUCUUUUGUUGAAGGACAAACAUGCACUGACACACCAUGAAGGUAGAUACUUAGGCUUCAUAUUUGCGGUACCUCUACGCUGAAACCACGAGCGAUUCUCUAUACCAAGGUGUGGUUGUGAACAAAUAAACGUAACAGGCGAUGUCAUGCUC